AUCCCUUGACAUCCAGAGAAUCUGUUAGAAAUAGUAGAGUGCCUUCGGGAACUCUGAGACAGGUGCUGCAUGGCUGUCGUCAGCUCGUGCCGUGAGAUGUUGGGUUAAGUCCCGCAACGAGCGCAACCCUUAUCUUUAGUUACCAGCAUGUAAUGAUGGGCACUCUAAAGAGACUGCCGGUGACAAGCCGGAGGAAGGUGGGGACGACGUCAAGUCAUCAUGGCCCUUACGGGAUGGGCUACACACGUGCUACAAUGGUUGAUACAGAGGGUUGCGAAUCCGCGAGGUGGAGCUAAUCUCAGAAAGUCAAUCGUAGUCCGGAUUGGAGUCUGCAACUCGACUCCAUGAAGU
This 351-nucleotide ribosomal RNA is filed under the name uncultured bacterium. RNAcentral describes it as "bacterial SSU rRNA". It matches the Rfam family "Bacterial small subunit ribosomal RNA", at positions 976 to 1326 of the family's 1533-position model. The record is from RNAcentral.